Carassius auratus (goldfish) is the source of this 5847-nucleotide long non-coding RNA. The record is from Ensembl. Lineage: Eukaryota; Metazoa; Chordata; Actinopteri; Cypriniformes; Cyprinidae.
GUCAAGGUCAAGGAGAGUUCACCCAAACAAAUAUUAUGUAAUCUGCCUCGUGUUAUUCCAAACCUGCUUGACUUACCUUCUUCAGUUUUUAAAGAAUACCCUGGCCACUCUACUGUUCAAAAGCAUGGAGUCAGUAAGAUUUCUGAAUAGCUUUUCGUGAGGAAAAAAAUUCAAUUUGAAUAAUUCUUCACUGGAAAUGCGCCGUAAUGUUGCUUUAGCAUGUUCAUGCAAGAAAGUGAUAAUUGAUGCAUAACUGAAUCAUUCCUUUGCGUCAGAAGACUCUGAAGCUUUAAAGCUUUGGUCUUCAUUCGUUAAAUGGAAAACAGUGACUCACACCAUCUUAAUUUGUCCUUUUGCGUUCCAUGAAAGAAAGUCACGAGGAUCUGGCAUGACAUGAGAGCGAGAACUGUAAACAAAUCUUUUGCCGAAUCUUUCAGUUUUCUAUAUAAUCUCAAAGGAACAUAUGUUGAAGAUGCGUCUGCAUGUGAUUAUUCUGGGAUGGUACAGUACCCUCACUCUAUGUAAUGUUGAUUAAAUGAGAAAAUUACUCAUCUUUUCCAUUCCUCCUCCCAAAAUAACAUAACUGUUCUGUAAUAUGAAAACAAAAGGCCUGCUCAUUCGAUUACGUAAUUAUAUUCAUCUUGUUUUUAACAUACGAUCUUCAUCCUUAAUGUAGUUGCUUUUUCCUUAACACUCAGAAUGAUUUGAAACUUAAGAGCACUCACAGAAAUAACUCCUUUGGCUAAAAAAAAAGGUUGUGUUUUUCAUUUUGCGUUUUGAUGUCAUGUCUAAACAAUUUUCAAGGUUACCCAACACCGUUUUAAAAGAAUGUUUGCACAUUUAUUGUAAUUUCUACACCAUCAUCUACAGGAAUUAAAGAACCGGACCCCUUCCACAACGUCUGAGGACUCCUCAAAGUUCCAGAGCACGGGGUCAUUGGACCGCGAGCCCUCAGAGGUGGAGCUCUCCUCGUCUCCAUCUACCAGAGACUUCCUGUCCCGCAUGGACUCCAAACGCAAAGGGAAGAACCUCAAUCCAUUCUCCUCCAAUUCAAGCCAGAAGGGCCAGAACAGCGAGGCGCAGAGCCAGAUCCCCAGCCGCCUGCUACAGCUGGCCAAACCCAAGGAGAAGAAGGACAAGAAGAAGAAGAAGGGGAAAGGGCAGCAGAGCCAGACUGCAGAUGCUCAGAGCGCUGUGGUUCCAAGCUCUAACCCGGACGGAGAGAUCUUUUUCUGCUGAUUCUGACCCCUCUUUAUCAGCCUCUAUCCCACAAUGCCUCCAAGCAGGGCUGCUGGGCUCUGGUUGUGGACUCACUCAUAAACCAGAGUUAGAAGCACACACCUGUGGUCUCGAAGGGUGUCAGGACAGAUAAACUGAUUGUUUCCUGUGACCUGAUUUUCAGCGGCCAGCAUUCUGCAUGGUCACAAGCAGGGGCCUGGAGCACGAGCCUGGGGAACAGUAAAUGUCCGAUAAACCCACUGUGGGCACUUCACACACAGACUUCCUGUGAAGAUCAAAAGAGAUUUAUAACAGCGAGUGGCAUCAUGCUGAGAGACAGCUGGCUUUCCAGUGACCUCAAAAGUCACUUUCUGAAGGACAUUUGACUAAUGAAGAUACUAGUGAGUGAACUCAAAGUGCAGUUGGCAAUGCAGUGAUUACGUUUCUAUAUAUUUCCAUCCUUUUUCUUUCAUCCCUGUCAUGUUACAAUGUGCCUCAACAAUAUAUUAGUCUUCUGGACCAGACUUGGUUUCUAUACAGUCCCAAAGUUGUAUUUCUUUUAAAAAGGUCACAAAAUACUUUUUAUGAAUAGAAGGGGAUGCUUUUUUAAAAACAUUUUAGUGAGCAGCACAGAAAUGGAAGUGCAAAAGAGUGUAAUUAAUUGUUUAAGAACUUUUCCAUCCCUUAAUGACUGAAAGAUAGAAUGAAAAUUCAUAAUUCACUUUGUUGUGAUUCUGAAGGCUUCACAAACCCCAUAGAAGUUUUUUUCUUCUUCUAAACCUCAAUGCAAUUUUAAUCCUUAGCACUUUAUAUGCACACGUAGAGUGGGGGAAAGAUGGCUGGCUUUAAAACGAGACAAUCGAUCAGCUCCACUUAACUGGUAAACGGCCUUUCUUGUACGUGCAAGGUUUUAUUUGAUCAUCUUUUACUGUACCAUAUGAAUGUUGUGUAAAAUUGUUCAACCAAACACAAGCUUUCACGUUAAGCUACCAAAAGAGCGGGUGUUUUGACGGCAGUAUUUUUGUCUUUUUAAAGUUAUUAAACACAAACUGAGAGAGAUUCGGCUUAAUGUAGGCUAACAAACUCAAGCUGUAUUAGUCCCAAAGUAUCGCAGUUCUGCGCUCAAGCCAGAAAUGUUGAUAUGACAGGCCAAUGUGGUGUAAGUAUGAAUAUACACUGUGUUUGUGUAUUAAACGCCUGGUUUUUCCCCUCUAAUCACUAGAUUUUAGCCAGUCAAAAGCCCUUGCCUGCUGGCCAGGCUAAACGUUCUGCUGAACAUAAGGAAAUAUUUUAAGAAAGGGGUUAAAAAGUGUUAAUUUAAGCUUACUGCUGUUUUUAUUUUCUUGCCAUUAAACUUCUACAUGCCUCUCGAGUACAUUAGUGAUUAAUGCCUCAUGAUUCAUUUAUCGAUCAGUUCCCUCUGACCUCUUGGGAUCUUAUUCAUACGUCCGAGAGAUUUUUAUUAUCCGUCAGCAUAUUCCCACAGCUGCUGACGCGGACAUUCUGCGUGCUGUUGUGUUAUGGAGCUAAACGGAGAACUGAAAUGCCUUAACCAAUAGAGGGCGGUGUGUCCGCUCUCGUUUCCUUUCUCCCUCCUGAAUCGCCACGAAACUUCUUUUGUCGGAUAAUUGACUAAUGAGAAAUCUGAUGCUCACGUUCUUUAACUAGCCUUAACUAUUCCCCAAAUCCUGCAGGGUUUUUCAGUUCCCUUUUAUCACCAAAUCUUCCUUCAGGGAAACAUAGAAUUCAAGUUGAAUUAUAACUAGCACAAUUAAAGCUAGUCGGAAGUAUUCUCGCUCAUUUGACUCAUAUUGACUGGUAUAAGAAAUGCACCAAAGAAGAAUCCAAAUCAUCCCGUUAAUUCAAAUUAAACAUAAGUCUGCACCAUGCAUUGGACGCUAUAUUUAAAAAUGUUCACAAUUUAUAUUGAUUGUUCUGCUGACACAUUUAAAAUGCAUGAAAAAGUCAAAUCCAGGUUUUGUUAGAAUUACACUGGGCUUAUAUCUCUCACAGCCUCGUUUUCAUUCAUGAAAAAUUAAACAUGGCGUCUACCAACAUCGAGGUCCGUGGUUUGCAAGAGGCACCAUAAUUUCUUGUAAAAUUUUGUGUACAAAAAAGGGGCAAAAUACCACAAAUACUGUAAAUAUCUGUAAUGUAAAAAAAAAAUAGCAAAAGCAUUAAUUAUGGAUUUUUUUGUGUGUGGGUGUGCUUUGAUUUAAAGCUUUUUAUAACUAGCUUUAUUUAUCGGCAUUCUCUGUGUUGGAGACGUGAAAAAUGUAAAAUGUAAAAGAAAGUAAUAAAUAACUAUUGUACAUCAGCCUGUGUUCAUAUUUUUUUGCUCAGGUUAUAUAUAGAGAGAGUGUGAGAGAUACAAUGAUGGAUACAAAUAAUUAAUUUAAAUCACAUAUAUUUCAAAUAGUACAACUUGAUAGAUACAUAUAUGUGUGUGUAUGUAUGUGUAUUUAUGUAUAUAUAUAUAUAUAUAUAUAUAUUAGCGCUCCAGAUAUAUCAGAUUUCAGUUAGUGAGGUCAACUGUCUCAAAAAAAAAAAAAAAUCCCAUACAAACCUGCCAGCUGUGGUUGAAUAUGGUAUAUGGUAGCAACAUUUUGGGGUUUAUGGAUUUUGAAGUUUUAUUGAACUUGUGAAAUCUGUUUAGUAUCUUUGUGAUACUCUGAUAACCACCAAAACAGGUGGUGGUAAGAAAGUCACAUGAUGAAGCAAAACUCAUCCCAAUCUGCUUUCCCACAAGCUGAGAACAAAAAUAUUUGAAUAGAAGGUAAAUCUAAAUUAAAAUGUAUGCAUUUAGCAGACACUUUUAUUCAAUUUUAACCUAUCAUGUAUUCCCGGGGAAUCAAACCCACAACCUUGUGCUUCAUAAGGCAAUGCUCUACCAAUUGAGCUACAGGAACUGUUAAAAUCACAACAGACUAAAGCCAACUAAUCAGAAGCAAAGCUUGACUGAAGCACCUGUUGCUACUUUCUCUUCCUCCUGUCUGGUCUAGCGCAAGGUUUCCCAGCGGCGGACACCAACAUGACUCCAUUUGUCCUGCUUUGAAUGAAGCGACUGUCUCCUAAAUGUGUUUUUUUCUCUCACGGGGUUGGUUGGAUAUGUUUGAAGGGGGGCCAUGGCUUCUUUCCCCUUUGGACUCCAUUGACUUUGUCUUUGUUCCUGUUGCCAAGCUACCCUGCUCUUUUGGCAAGCACAAAGGUAGGAAACAGUGCUUGAAGGUAAUGCUAAGCUGAAAAGAACUAGUUCCUUGUCAGAUUAAAGACUGGCUGUUCAUUUUUCGGCUUGUUUACAAGGUGAUUUUAUCCAGCCCUGGAGGAAUGUUCUCAUCUUUAUCCAGAUAACUUAAAUCCAAGACUUGGUGGCUUUAGCUAGGGAUACACUUGUGUUUGUCCUUGUUCCUGGAGACUUAAGCUGUUGUUCUUUGGGGAGUUGCUAUUAAAACAGUAAAGAAGCUCAGAUACCUAGCUUAAAGUGCAUCUCAUUGGUUUUUCCAUUUUUUGUCUCCUGCAUUUUGACCUUUCAUUGGACUCCCAGUAAUGCCAUGUUUUGCAUUUGUGAAAGAUCCCUCAGUAUCUAUCAUUGUUGUCCCGUUUUGUCUAUCUGUUGAUUGGGUUUUUCCUCUACCAUCUCUCUUUCUCUCGCUUUCCAAAGAGAACAAAUGAUCCACAUGCAACCUAGAGAAACCUGAGCCUUUGUGACGCGCUGACAGCCUGUGUAUAAAUAUCAGUUGUAUGUCAGGGAGAACAAUAGCUCUGUGCUGCCGGUGUUUUCUGAUACAUGAGGGACAGUGUGGCCUUUUAUGCUCCUACAAGAACAGCGCUCAUGAAAUUGUUGUUGGGUUUCCUUGGUAUAAGGUUGUGCUGGCUAUCUGAAGAUUUCCAUUCACAUGUGACAUCUCACUUUGUACUGGUUCGGAUGCUAGAAUCUCUAGAAAGAGUUUAAUAAAGCAGUUAGAGAAAGCAACGGGACAUUUCAUUAGGUCCACUCGAGACUGCAAUCCAAUGAGUAAGAAAGUGUUGAUGUAUUAGGGGAUUUCUGUACAUCUACUUGAUAGAGCACUUGAGAUGGUUGUUCUUGAGGUCAUGUAGAGGUUUAGUAUUCUGACUCAUCAUGGCCUGCAUUCAUUAUUGCUAGAGUUCACAGAAAUAUGUGAAGUGUAAUUUAAUGUAAUGCUCAAAAAUUAGAUCAAGGAUACUCGCAAGCAGGGUUGCCAAGUUUGCGGUUUUCCAGUGGAAUUUGGUUACUUGAACGCUGUUGCCGCAGGUUUAAGCAACCCGAUAAGGUGUAUUUUAUCCCCGGAACACGAUUUUUAACAGGAGACCCCUUUCGAAAUGUGAUUUGGAAUAGUUUUGAGUACCGAUUGGGAGUUUUUUUGUAAAAACCUGGCAACGGCUCUCAAGUAGGGCUCCAUGAUAUAUUGGUUACCAACCAAUGGAUGGAUGCAUGGAUGGAUGAGUUGUUUUUUUAUCAUCUAGGCCUCAGGUAAUUAUUUUUUGUAAUUAUUUCUUAUAUGAACUGUAAUAUAUUAAGUCAAUGUGUCUAAUAACUCUUGUACCAAUUAUUAAUAUCAGUUUAUCAAAUAUCAGUUUUAACAUUUUUAUAUCAAUACAAUAAAAUAU